UACGUAGGCAGCGAGCGUUGUUCGGAAUUACUGGGCGUAAAGAGUGUGUAGGCGGUGCUCCAAGUCUGUUGUGAAAUCUCCCGGCUUAACCGGGAGGGUGCGGCGGAAACUGGAAUGCUUGAGGGUGGGAGAGGUAAGCGGAAUUCCUGGUGUAGCGGUGAAAUGCGUAGAUAUCAGGAGGAACACCUGUGGUGUAGACAGCUUACUGGACCACUUCUGACGCUGAGACACGAAAGCGUGGGUAGCAAACAGG
This 253-nucleotide ribosomal RNA is filed under the name uncultured bacterium. RNAcentral's name for it is "partial 16S ribosomal RNA". It matches the Rfam family "Bacterial small subunit ribosomal RNA", at positions 524 to 776 of the family's 1533-position model. The record is from RNAcentral.